ACGGANCUCUUAAAGCUGUCUCAGUUCGGACUGCAGUCUGCAACUCGACUGCACGAAGCUGGAAUCGCUAGUAAUCGCGGAUCAGCACGCCGCGGUGAAUACGUUCCCGGGCCUUGUACACACCGCCCGUCACACCAUGGAAGUCUGCAAUGCCCGAAGCCGGUGGCCUAACCACUUAUGUGGAAGGAGCCGUCUAAGGCAGGGCAGAUGACUGGGGUGAAGUCGUAACAAGGUAGC
Molecule: ribosomal RNA, 237 nt
Filed under: uncultured bacterium
Lineage: Bacteria
Description: partial 16S ribosomal RNA
Rfam family: Bacterial small subunit ribosomal RNA
Source: RNAcentral